Myotis lucifugus (little brown bat) is the source of this 1576-nucleotide long non-coding RNA. RefSeq lists it as uncharacterized. NCBI's taxonomy places the organism in Eukaryota, Metazoa, Chordata, Mammalia, Chiroptera, Vespertilionidae. The record is from RefSeq and is a predicted model, not a curated record. The transcript is spliced from 3 exons.
AGAAGACUACUCUCACGUGGACCUCUGUGACAUGUGGUGACAUAAGGAGAUGCUUAGGGAGAAGGCAGCUGCUGAUUGUGGAGUUUUCUUCCCCUGCUUCAGAGUGGUUUUGCAGACAUCCUUUUCACUGCACAGUGCCAUUGGUGGCACCACUGGAUGAGUUAUGCCAGGAAGACUGAGUCCAUCCUGCCUUAGCGACUCCUCAGCAGGGCCCAGGCCCUCGUUUAGAGAGCAGCACAGUGAAACUCAGGAACCACAGAAAGGAAGAAGGCACGUGAAACCCCUUUUCCACUGAACUUAUUCUUAAGCAAUCAAAUGAAAGUGCCUGUCAGCCUCUGCAGUAUGCCAACCAUCUGGCCUUUGCAUCCUUCCUGAGUCACCAGAAGGGAGUUCAGAGAGUGCCGGGACUAAGGUUUCUUCAUCACGCUAUCUCCUGUGCCCAGAAAAGAACCAGACGUGGAGGAGAAAUACAAUAAACAUUUGUUGAAGAAAUAAAUAAUGGAGAAGAGAUGUUCAAAUAUGUGUUUCAAAUAUGCAGGUGUAUACUGUGUCUUGCCUUCUCAGUUACCUAAAGGCAACCAUCUUCACAGUUGGACAGGGAUGGCUGUGCUUUUCUAUACCUUCUGAGAAGGGGGAUAGGCUGAGUGGAUUUUCUGCAUGACCUGCCCUUUCUCAUGGAAUUCCUGCCAUGAGUUCAUGUUAAAUGAAUUUCCCUGUUGUUUCUGGGCAGCUGAGUGAGGGACCAGAGCUAAGACUGUUCUACCACAAUCGAGGUUCACAUGUAAUCUUAGUUGAUUUAAAUUUGUACACUUUUCCCUGGGAAAGCUGUGUUGUUCUCACAACAGAAGAUUAUGUAAUUUUUAAUAGACAUAGCCAUAUGUGUAUUUCCUAUUCAGCAUUGCCUACGUCAAAGGAAGUGCAUGUUAGUGAAGCCAUUAUUCUGGUAUGCUCAGUGCUUUUAGCACUGGUCCACAAGCACCCUGCCUUCAGACCAAGUCCUUUCACUUCAGAGUCCUGCUAUUUUUAAAACUCUUCAAAGGGAAAGAAACCUAAUAAAAGACAUAUAUUUAAAAAGCAAAACAUAUGAUCAAGUUAACCCAAAGGCAGCAGCUGCUUUUGAAGUCAGAGCUACAUAUAUGAGAUUUCAGAGGUUGCUGUCUACCCAAUUGUCAUUCUUCCCAUCCUCCUUAAACUAACAGCCUGAAUGAAUUCUGCAGUGCAGUGUUCCCAGUUCCAAGUCUGUUGUUUCCCAGCAUCUCUUGCAGCAGCUUUUAUACGUGUCUAAAGUCCAGCCUGUAAGACUUGAGCAGAAGGUUCACUUAUAAAGUCACUGCCUAAGUCAGUAGGGGAAGCUUUUUUAGUUUUUUCCAGUCACCUUAUAUGUUGUCAAAGCAAAUGUGACGGCUGCAGGAGCCACCUCAGACCAUGAAGCCAACUUGAAGACAAAAGAUGUGCACUGAGGAUGGCAAAGCUAAAUGACAGAGGGAGCCUCGGUCCUAGGAAACUUGAUACCCACAUUGGAAUGCCCACAUUUGGUCUAGUUUUACCUGAGAAAAUAAACCUUUACAUCUUUAAA